Long non-coding RNA from Marmota flaviventris (yellow-bellied marmot), 667 nucleotides. RefSeq lists it as uncharacterized. Lineage: Eukaryota; Metazoa; Chordata; Mammalia; Rodentia; Sciuridae. The record is from RefSeq and is a predicted model, not a curated record.
CAUGGACAUGCACAAAGAACAUGCCCAGCUGCAAUUACAUCACCUCACUGGACCUAACCAAUGAACACUGACUUUCAUUGGGUGUAACCACUCACCAGUGUAUACCACCAACUUGAAACAGUAUUUAAAUCUCUGGUCCUGCCACAUUGAGGAUUUUUGCUCCAAGGACAUCGUUGAGACUGGCUGCCUUGCUGUCUGUCCCUGGACUGACUCUACCAUUCCUUGAUCUCCAGCCAUCGGCUGGAGAAAACCGCCAGACAAAGAAAAUGUCUGCUCUUUGGCAAAGAGAAGUCACGUGGCAUUGGAGAGGCCAGAAGAGGAAGGAAUGGCUAGCCAUAACCCAUCCUUGGAAAUUCUAUCACUGGUAGUUCUAUCUAACAGCCUUACCACAUGAAGACUUGCUCAGCCUCCUGGCAGAAGGUUAUCAACUGUAUGUUAGGUAAAAUACACCUACCACUGAUGAGUUUCAGGAAGGAGAAACACAGACGCCAGAUCAACGAUGGAAAAAGAGUUCUAUAACUGAGAUAUGAACAGGAGUAAAAGAAGAUAGCCAAAAAAUAAUCUGGAACAAAUAAAGGUUUACCUUUGUUGUCUUUAAAAUUUUGCAUGACUUCAAAUACUCUGUGUUACUCACUGAAAAUAAACAAUCUAAUUCUGUCUUUGCUAA